AGAGUGAAAAUGUGCAUCUCCUUUUUCCCUUUUCCAAAUCCAGUGUCACUCUGCCACCGUGUUUGCCCAGGCCCAAGCAGAGCUGUGUCUCUCAGAGAUGGGAAGAGCUUUCCUGAAAGUUCACUCUGAGUGAUGAAGAGCACAGAGAAGGGGGAACAAGAACCUGC
RNAcentral lists this long non-coding RNA (167 nucleotides) under Cyanistes caeruleus (blue tit). RNAcentral describes it as "lncRNA (ENSCCEG00000019492.1)". Lineage: Eukaryota; Metazoa; Chordata; Aves; Passeriformes; Paridae. The record is from RNAcentral.